Oryctolagus cuniculus (rabbit) is the source of this 931-nucleotide non-coding RNA. Lineage: Eukaryota; Metazoa; Chordata; Mammalia; Lagomorpha; Leporidae. The record is from RefSeq and is a predicted model, not a curated record.
GGCGCGGAGGGGGCGGGGCUUGCUCGGGCGGCCGGCGCGGGCCAUGGAGGGGCUGAGGCGCGGGCUGCGGGGCUGCCGGCGCUACCGCAUCCAGGUGCACCUGGCGGACGAGGCGCUGCUGCUGCGGCUGACGGUGCGGCCGCGGGACACGCUCAGCGACGUGCGCGCGCAGCUCGUGGGCCGCGGCGUGGGCUCCUGGCGGCGCAGCUUCUACUACAACGCGCGGCCGCUCGACGACCGGCUGACCGUGCGGGACGCGCGCCUGCGGGACGGCUCGGUGCUGCUGCUGGCGCGCGCCGCCGGGCAGGUAGUCUGGGCUGGAGGAGGCGGAGCUGUGUUGGAGGGUCCCCCGGAGCUGGAAGGGACCCCCGGGGCUGGAGGGUCCCCCGGAGCUGGAGGGGACCCCCCAGAGCUGGAGGAGACCCCCGGAGCUGGAGGGGACCCCCAGAGCUGGAGGGGACCCCCGGAGCUGUGCUGGUGACGACCCCCGGAGCUGGAGGCGACCCCUGGGAGCCUGGAGCUCAGCCUGGGACAGGACAGGACAGGGCACAACUCUUCCUGCAAUUCCUGCGGCUGCCGCCAGGUGGCACCCGACAGCCACACUCAUGGCCCCGGUGCUGCCCCAGGCCCCAGUCAAAGCUGGCAGCCAAGCGGCCUCAGCCCCCGGUUUCCGCGUCGAGAAGCUGAGGCCUGGGCCUGGCCGGCGCCCGGCAGCCACACCGCGGCCAGCGCUGCCUCCCAUCACGUGGCCAUGGACCAAGGAAGAGUGGGGGCAGGGUCUGCGCCUGGGCCUGGAGGCUGCUCCCACUGCCCAGCCCCGCCCCUCAUCUCUGUCCACCUCCUGCUCCCCCACCAGCCCCACCGCGCACUGCCUGUGUUCGGCAAACUCCUGUCCACCUGCCAAAGCCCCGGUGUCAAUGCCCCCUCCUUC